Molecule: ribosomal RNA, 377 nt
Filed under: uncultured bacterium
Lineage: Bacteria
Description: bacterial SSU rRNA
Rfam family: Bacterial small subunit ribosomal RNA
Source: RNAcentral
AUACGUAGGUGGCGAGCGUUGUCCGGAAUUACUGGGUGUAAAGGGCGCGUAGGCGGGGAUGCAAGUCAGGUGUGAAAGACCGGGGCUCAACCCUGGGGUUGCAUCUGAAACUGUAUUUCUUGAGUAUCGGAGAGGAAAGCGGAAUUCCCAGUGUAGCGGUGAAAUGCGUAGAGAUUGGGAGGAACACCAGUGGCGAAGGCGGCUUUCUGGACGGUAACUGACGCUGAGGCGCGAAAGCGUGGGGAGCGAACAGGAUUAGAUACCCUGGUAGUCCACGCCGUAAACGAUGGAUACUAGGUGUAGGGGGUAUCGACCCUUCCUGUGCCGGAGUUAACACAAUAAGUAUCCCACCUGGGGAGUACGGUCGCAAGACUGAA